Molecule: ribosomal RNA, 360 nt
Filed under: Paracoccus sp. NIOB_931
Lineage: Bacteria; Pseudomonadati; Pseudomonadota; Alphaproteobacteria; Rhodobacterales; Paracoccaceae
Description: bacterial SSU rRNA
Rfam family: Bacterial small subunit ribosomal RNA
Source: RNAcentral
GCAGAACCUUACCAACCCUUGACAUCCCCGGACCGGCCUGGAGACAGGUCUUCCACUUCGGUGGCCGGGUGACAGGUGCUGCAUGGCUGUCGUCAGCUCGUGUCGUGAGAUGUUCGGUUAAGUCCGGCAACGAGCGCAACCCACGUCCCCAGUUGCCAGCAUUCAGUUGGGCACUCUGUGGAAACUGCCGGUGAUAAGCCGGAGGAAGGUGUGGAUGACGUCAAGUCCUCAUGGCCCUUACGGGUUGGGCUACACACGUGCUACAAUGGUGGUGACAGUGGGUUAAUCCCCAAAAGCCAUCUCAGUUCGGAUUGUCCUCUGCAACUCGAGGGCAUGAAGUUGGAAUCGCUAGUAAUCGCG